This 402-nucleotide ribosomal RNA is filed under the name bacterium. RNAcentral describes it as "partial 16S ribosomal RNA". It matches the Rfam family "Bacterial small subunit ribosomal RNA", at positions 355 to 776 of the family's 1533-position model. The record is from RNAcentral.
UGGGGAAUUUUGCACAAUGGGGGAAACCCUGAUGCAGCGACGCCGCGUGAUUUAGAAGUCCUUCGGGUUGUAAAAUUUUUUUUUACGGGAUGAAAAUGACAGUACCGUAAGAAUAAGGUCCGCUUAAUUACUUGCCAGCAGCCGCGUUAAUACGUAUGGACCGAGCGUUGUCCGGAAUCAUUGGGCGUAAAGGGUACGUAGGCGGCCUAGUAAGUUAGAAGUGAAAUAAUAUAGCCCAACUAUAUAAAGCUUUUAAAACUGCUAGGCUUGAGAGAUGGAAGGGAAAGUGGAAUUCCUAGUGUAGCGGUGAAAUGAGCAGAUAUUAGGAAGAAUACCGGUGGCGAAGGCGACUUUCUGGUCAUCAUCUGACGCUGAGGUACGAAAGCGUGGGUAGCAAACAGG